Molecule: ribosomal RNA, 1359 nt
Filed under: Weissella confusa
Lineage: Bacteria; Bacillati; Bacillota; Bacilli; Lactobacillales; Lactobacillaceae
Description: bacterial SSU rRNA
Rfam family: Bacterial small subunit ribosomal RNA
Source: RNAcentral
UGGCGGCGUGCCUAAUACAUGCAAGUCGAACGCUUUGUGGUUCAACUGAUUUGAAGAGCUUGCUCAGAUAUGACGAUGGACAUUGCAAAGAGUGGCGAACGGGUGAGUAACACGUGGGAAACCUACCUCUUAGCAGGGGAUAACAUUUGGAAACAGAUGCUAAUACCGUAUAACAAUGACAACCGCAUGGUUGUUAUUUAAAAGAUGGUUCUGCUAUCACUAAGAGAUGGUCCCGCGGUGCAUUAGCUAGUUGGUAAGGUAAUGGCUUACCAAGGCGAUGAUGCAUAGCCGAGUUGAGAGACUGAUCGGCCACAAUGGGACUGAGACACGGCCCAUACUCCUACGGGAGGCAGCAGUAGGGAAUCUUCCACAAUGGGCGAAAGCCUGAUGGAGCAACGCCGCGUGUGUGAUGAAGGGUUUCGGCUCGUAAAACACUGUUGUAAGAGAAGAAUGACAUUGAGAGUAACUGUUCAAUGUGUGACGGUAUCUUACCAGAAAGGAACGGCUAAAUACGUGCCAGCAGCCGCGGUAAUACGUAUGUUCCAAGCGUUAUCCGGAUUUAUUGGGCGUAAAGCGAGCGCAGACGGUUAUUUAAGUCUGAAGUGAAAGCCCUCAGCUCAACUGAGGAAUUGCUUUGGAAACUGGAUGACUUGAGUGCAGUAGAGGAAAGUGGAACUCCAUGUGUAGCGGUGAAAUGCGUAGAUAUAUGGAAGAACACCAGUGGCGAAGGCGGCUUUCUGGACUGUAACUGACGUUGAGGCUCGAAAGUGUGGGUAGCAAACAGGAUUAGAUACCCUGGUAGUCCACACCGUAAACGAUGAGUGCUAGGUGUUUGAGGGUUUCCGCCCUUAAGUGCCGCAGCUAACGCAUUAAGCACUCCGCCUGGGGAGUACGACCGCAAGGUUGAAACUCAAAGGAAUUGACGGGGACCCGCACAAGCGGUGGAGCAUGUGGUUUAAUUCGAAGCAACGCGAAGAACCUUACCAGGUCUUGACAUCCCUUGACAACUCCAGAGAUGGAGCGUUCCCUUCGGGGACAAGGUGACAGGUGGUGCAUGGUUGUCGUCAGCUCGUGUCGUGAGAUGUUGGGUUAAGUCCCGCAACGAGCGCAACCCUUAUUACUAGUUGCCAGCAUUCAGUUGGGCACUCUAGUGAGACUGCCGGUGACAAACCGGAGGAAGGUGGGGAUGACGUCAAAUCAUCAUGCCCCUUAUGACCUGGGCUACACACGUGCUACAAUGGCGUAUACAACGAGUUGCCAACCCGCGAGGGUGAGCUAAUCUCUUAAAGUACGUCUCAGUUCGGAUUGUAGGCUGCAACUCGCCUACAUGAAGUCGGAAUCGCUAGUAAUCGCGGAUCA